GCAGUGGUGGUUCAGUGGUAGAAUUAUCACCUUCCAUGCGGGAGACUCAGGUUCGAUUCCUGGCUAAUGCA
RNAcentral lists this transfer RNA (71 nucleotides) under Loxodonta africana (African savanna elephant). It matches the Rfam family "tRNA". Rfam says of the family: Transfer RNA (tRNA) molecules are approximately 80 nucleotides in length. Their secondary structure includes four short double-helical elements and three loops (D, anti-codon, and T loops). Lineage: Eukaryota; Metazoa; Chordata; Mammalia; Proboscidea; Elephantidae. The record is from Rfam by way of RNAcentral.